CCCUUAGAUGUCCUGGGCCGCACGCGCGUUACACUGAUGCAUUCAACGAGCUUAUAACCUUGGCCGAGAGGCCUGGGCAAUCUUGUUAACGUGCAUCGUGAUAGGGAUAGAUUAUUGAAAUUAUUAAUCUUGAACGAGGAAUUCCUAGUAAACGCAGAUCAUCAAUCUGCAUUGAUUACGUCCCUGCCCUUUGUACACACCGCCCGUCGCACCUACCGAUUGGAUGGUCAGGUGAAGCCUCGGGAUUGUGGUUCUUGCCGCUUUAUUGUGGCGUGACCGCGAGAACUUGUCUAAACCUUAUCAUCUAGAGGAAGGUGAAGUCGUAACA
Molecule: ribosomal RNA, 328 nt
Filed under: uncultured eukaryote
Lineage: Eukaryota
Description: partial 18S ribosomal RNA
Rfam family: Eukaryotic small subunit ribosomal RNA
Source: RNAcentral